UGGGGAAUAUUGCACAAUGGGCGCAAGCCUGAUGCAGCCAUGCCGCGUGUGUGAAGAAGGCCUUCGGGUUGUAAAGCACUUUCAGCGAGGAGAAAGGGUUCAGUGUUAAUAGCACUGUUCAUUGACGUUACUCGCAGAAGAAGCACCGGCUAACUCCGUGCCAGCAGCCGCGGUAAUACGGAGGGUGCAAGCGUUAAUCGGAAUUACUGGGCGUAAAGCGCACGCAGGCGGUUUGUUAAGUCAGAUGUGAAAUCCCCGCGCUUAACGUGGGAACUGCAUUUGAAACUGGCAAGCUAGAGUCUUGUAG
Molecule: ribosomal RNA, 307 nt
Filed under: uncultured bacterium
Lineage: Bacteria
Description: partial 16S ribosomal RNA
Rfam family: Bacterial small subunit ribosomal RNA
Source: RNAcentral